RNAcentral lists this ribosomal RNA (197 nucleotides) under uncultured bacterium. Its description in RNAcentral is "partial 16S ribosomal RNA". It matches the Rfam family "Bacterial small subunit ribosomal RNA", at positions 1304 to 1500 of the family's 1533-position model. The record is from RNAcentral.
GCUGAAAUUCGCCUUCAUGAAGUCGGAAUUGCUAGUAAUGGCAGGUCAGCAUACUGCCGUGAAUACGUUCCCGGGCCUUGUACACACCGCCCGUCACACCAUGAGAGUUGGAGAUACCCGAAGCCUAUGAGCUUAACUUUUAGAGGCAGUAGUCGAAGGUAGAAUCAAUGAUUGGGGUGAAGUCGUAACAAGGUAUC